AUUGAACGCUGGCGGCAGGCCUAACACAUGCAAGUCGAACGAGUGGCGGACGGGUGAGUAAUGUCUGGGAAACUGCCCGAUGGAGGGGGAUAACUACUGGAAACGGUGGCUAAUACCGCAUACUAUCGGAUGACCCCAUAUGGGAUUAGCUAGUAGGUGGGGUAAAGGCUCACCUAGGCGACGAUCUCUCGCUGGUCUGAGAGGAUGAUAGGCCAAACUGGGACGAGGACACGGCCCAGACCCCUACGGGGGGCAGCAGUGGGGAAUAUUGCACAAUGGGGGGAACCUUGAUGCAGCCAGGCGGGGUGUAUGAAGAAGGCUUUAGGGUUGUAAAGUACUUUCAGGGGGAAGGCUUAACCCGCAGAAGAAGCACCGGCUAACUCCGGGCAAGCAGCCGCGGUAAUA
Molecule: ribosomal RNA, 405 nt
Filed under: uncultured bacterium
Lineage: Bacteria
Description: partial 16S ribosomal RNA
Rfam family: Bacterial small subunit ribosomal RNA
Source: RNAcentral